This 87-nucleotide transfer RNA is filed under the name Paracoccaceae bacterium. RNAcentral's name for it is "Rhodobacteraceae bacterium tRNA-Leu". It matches the Rfam family "tRNA". From Rfam's summary of the family: Transfer RNA (tRNA) molecules are approximately 80 nucleotides in length. Their secondary structure includes four short double-helical elements and three loops (D, anti-codon, and T loops). The record is from RNAcentral. RNAcentral also lists the same sequence under 2 other names. Lineage: Bacteria; Pseudomonadati; Pseudomonadota; Alphaproteobacteria; Rhodobacterales; Paracoccaceae.
GCGGAUGUGGCGGAAUUGGUAGACGCGCAGCGUUGAGGUCGCUGUUCUUUAAUCGGAGUGAAGGUUCGAGUCCUUUCAUCCGCACCA